This 358-nucleotide unclassified non-coding RNA is filed under the name soil metagenome. Its description in RNAcentral is "partial contains 5.8S ribosomal RNA, internal transcribed spacer 2, and large subunit ribosomal RNA". The stretch from base 1 to 120 matches the Rfam family "5.8S ribosomal RNA", at positions 35 to 154 of the family's 154-position model. The record is from RNAcentral.
GAUGAAGAACGCAGCGAAAUGCGAUAAGUAAUGUGAAUUGCAGAAUUCAGUGAAUCAUCGAAUCUUUGAACGCACAUUGCGCCCGUCAGUAUUCUGGCGGGCAUGCCUGUUCGAGCGUCAUUACGCCCCUCAAGUCCCCUGUGGACUUGGUGUUGGGGAUCGGCGAGGCUGGUUUUCCAGCACAGCCGUCCCUUAAAUUAAUUGGCGGUCUCGCCGUGGCCCUCCUCUGCGCAGUAGUAAAACACUCGCAACAGGAGCCCGGCGCGGUCCACUGCCGUAAAACCCCCCAACUUUUUAUAGUUGACCUCGAAUCAGGUAGGACUCCCCGCUGAACUUAAGCAUAUCAAUAAGCGGAGGA